Molecule: ribosomal RNA, 498 nt
Filed under: Elusimicrobiota bacterium
Lineage: Bacteria; Pseudomonadati; Elusimicrobiota
Description: bacterial SSU rRNA
Rfam family: Bacterial small subunit ribosomal RNA
Source: RNAcentral
UUCAUGGAGAGUUUGAUCCUGGCUCAGAACAAACGCUGGCGGCGCGCUUAACACAUGCAAGUCGAACGAUUCCGAUAAAGCCGUAAGGUGAUAUCGGGAUAGUGGCAAACGGGUGAGUAACACGUGGAUAACCUGCCCUCGAGCGGGGGAUAACUCUGCGAAAGUGGAGCUAAUACCGCGUAAGACUACAGAAUCGCAUGAUUCAGUAGUAAAAGGUUCCCCGAUUUUCGGGGAAUCGCUCGGGGAUGAGUCCGCGGCUGAUUAGCUAGUUGGUAGGGUAACAGCCUACCAAGGCAACGAUCAGUAGCCGGCCUGAAAGGGUGUUCGGCCACACUGGAAUUGAGAUACGGUCCAGACUCCUACGGGAGGCAGCAGUGGGGAAUCUUGCGCAAUGGGGGAAACCCUGACGCAGUGACGCCGCGUGAACGAUGAAGUCCUUCGGGAUGUAAAGUUCUGUCAGGCGGGAAGAACCUCCCCCCGAUGUAAAUCGGGGGGAAA